Molecule: long non-coding RNA, 198 nt
Filed under: Propithecus coquereli (Coquerel's sifaka)
Lineage: Eukaryota; Metazoa; Chordata; Mammalia; Primates; Indriidae
Description: KCNQ1 overlapping transcript 1 conserved region 2 (ENSPCOG00000007134.1)
Rfam family: KCNQ1 overlapping transcript 1 conserved region 2
Source: RNAcentral
GGGGAGAGAGGUGUGGAAGCUGAUUUGCUGGGGCCACCCAGUGUGGGCUCAGGAAGGAAAGGAAUGUAACUGAGGCUGGGUGUGGCUGGGGAGAGCACAGCCAGCUAUGGGUUUUUCUUGGGGCCCAGAUAGAUGUGAGCAGAGCUGGAGGCCCCUCUCUCCCAGCCCCCAGCGCACACACACUAGGACCUUUCUUCA